AACGCAGCGAAGGGCGAUAAGUAAUGUGAAUUGCAGAAUUCAGUGAAUCAUCGAAUCUUUGAACGCACAUUGCGCCCGCCAGUAUUCUGGCGGGCAUGCCUGUUCGAGCGUCAUUUCAACCCUCAACGCCCCCGGGCUUGGUGUUGGAGAUCGGCGUCGCCCCCCGGGGCGCGCCGGCUCCCAAAUAUAGUGGCGGUCUCGCUGUAGCUUCCUCUGCGUAGUAGCACACCUCGCACUAGGAAAACAGCGUGGCCACGCCGUUAAACCCCCCACUUCUGAAAGGUUGACCUCGGAUCAGGUAGGAAUACCCGCUGAACUUAA
This 321-nucleotide ribosomal RNA is filed under the name uncultured fungus. RNAcentral describes it as "eukaryotic LSU rRNA". The stretch from base 1 to 113 matches the Rfam family "5.8S ribosomal RNA", at positions 42 to 154 of the family's 154-position model. Lineage: Eukaryota; Fungi. The record is from RNAcentral.